Molecule: transfer RNA, 71 nt
Filed under: Herbaspirillum sp. SJZ099
Lineage: Bacteria; Pseudomonadati; Pseudomonadota; Betaproteobacteria; Burkholderiales; Oxalobacteraceae
Also listed under: 3 other names
Description: tRNA-Gly
Rfam family: tRNA
About the family: Transfer RNA (tRNA) molecules are approximately 80 nucleotides in length. Their secondary structure includes four short double-helical elements and three loops (D, anti-codon, and T loops).
Source: RNAcentral
GCGGGUGUAGCUCAAUGGUAGAGCAGAAGCUUCCCAAGCUUAAGACGAGGGUUUUUAUCACUGCACCCACA